This is a long non-coding RNA of Pogoniulus pusillus (Red-fronted tinkerbird), 249 nucleotides long. RefSeq lists it as uncharacterized. The record is from RefSeq and is a predicted model, not a curated record. NCBI's taxonomy places the organism in Eukaryota, Metazoa, Chordata, Aves, Piciformes, Lybiidae. The transcript is spliced from 3 exons.
GUGGAGUCCAACUGUCAACCCCACACCACCAGGGCCAGAACGAGUGGUGUUUAAGUGGUACCAGCUGUCAACAUUAUCCCAUCACAAGAAGGGCUGUUGUCUCUGGAGAACCACAGAGGUACAGGCAGCAACUCAAAGCACCGCAAAGGCUGAUUUAGCAUCACGAGUGCCCUCAGCACGGUACAUAAGGAAAAGUCCUGUCAAGAUUCUCUCAAAAAGCAAGCUCUGCAGUUCCUUUUAAAACCCAGG